Molecule: ribosomal RNA, 478 nt
Filed under: uncultured bacterium
Lineage: Bacteria
Description: partial 16S ribosomal RNA
Rfam family: Bacterial small subunit ribosomal RNA
Source: RNAcentral
GAUGAACGCUGGCGGCGUGCUUAACACAUGCAAGUCGAACGAGAAGUGAAGACGGAAACCUUCGGGCGGAAGGCUUUAUUUCGAGUGGCGGACGGGUGAGUAACGCGUGGGUAACCUGCCUCAUACAGGGGGAUAACAGUUGGAAACGACUGUUAAUACCGCAUAAGACCACAGCACCGCAUGGUGCGGGGGUAAAAACUCCGGUGGUAUGAGAUGGACCCGCGUUCGAUUAGCCAGUUGGCGGGGUAACGGCCCACCAAAGCGACGAUCGAUAGCCGAUCUGAGAGGAUGACCGGCCACAUUGGGACUGAGACACGGCCCAAACUCCUACGGGAGGCAGCAGUGGGGAAUAUUGCACAAUGGGGGAAACCCUGAUGCAGCGACGCCGCGUGAGUGAAGAAGUAUUUCGGUAUGUAAAGCUCUAUCAGCAGGGAAGACAAUGACGGUACCUGAGUAAGAAGCCCCGGCUAACUACGUG